This 29767-nucleotide long non-coding RNA is filed under the name Brassica napus (rape). Its description in RNAcentral is "long non-coding RNA (BNAP_LNC009615)". The record is from RNAcentral. Lineage: Eukaryota; Viridiplantae; Streptophyta; Magnoliopsida; Brassicales; Brassicaceae.
UCGACGGUGAGUUUGAUUUUGAAGACGACAUGGAGAACCCUCAGAGCCCACAGCAGAGGCCACCGCUACUCCAGCAGUGCUGCAACGAGCUCCACCAGGAAGAGCCACUUUGUGUUUGCCCAACCUUGAAAGGAGCAUCCAAAGCCGUUAAACAACAGGUUCGACAACAGCAAGGACAGCAGGGACAGCAGCUGCAGCAAGUAAUUAGUCGUAUCUACCAGACUGCUACGCACUUACCUAAAGUUUGCAACAUCCCUCAAGUUAGCGUUUGUCCCUUCCAGAAGACCAUGCCUGGACCCUCCUACUAGAUUCCAAACGAAACCCUCGAGUGUAUGAAUGUGGUUGUCGGUAUAUGUCAACGCCACACUUCAUCGCGUAAUAUGUAAGGUCUUAUCUAGGAUGUUUGAGGCUAUGUAAUUAGCACUACUCCAUAAUAAAAGAGGNNNNNNNNNNNNNNNNNNNNNNNNNNNNNNNNNNNNNNNNNNNNNNNNNNNNNNNNNNNNNNNNNNNNNAAAAAAUAUUUUGAUAAGCGAAAAAUUAAAAUCAUGUAAUUAUAAACAGUUUUAAGUGAUAUAAAUUAAAAUAUAACAAAAUUGAAUUGUUUUCAACAUAGAUGAGUGUAGGUAGUGAAUCAUGGUAUUCUUUGGUCUAGGGUUUGACAACAUAUGUUGUAGUAUUGUAUGUAUACUUAGGGUUAGAUUUUGGAAAGCUUGAAUGUUUUUUUGAAAAAUUAAUUUUUUACCUAUGCAUGUUUAUUUUUGUGUAUAGUAAAUACUUUUGAAGUUUAAUUUGGUUUUAUGAAGUGUUUAGUUAGUUAAUUAAGUUUAGGGGUAAUGUUUAUGAUCUAGACUACUUACAUUUCAGUCGUAUGGUGAAGAAAUUAAAACAGACGACUUACAUGUAAGUCGUCCAAAUAUUUCCGCCUAAAAUUUUUUUAAAAAUUAUUUUCCCGCUUAAAUAAUAUAAACCAGACGACUUACUUGUAAGUCGUCUAGAAAGUGUUCUAUUUUAGUUUCUCACUAAAAAUAUUUUAAUUUCCCGCUAAAAAUAUUAAAACCUUCUGGACGACUUACAAGUAAGUCGUCUGAAUCAAACAUAUUUAACCUAAUUGAAUUUUUUGUCUCCCUAUAUAAAGAAAAAUUUACACAUUUUCUCUCCUCCUCUCAAAUGGCUGCAACAAAAAUGUAAUGUUCAUCACUCUAAAAGUCUUCAACCUCUCUCUAAUCUUUUUGACUUGAAAACACCAAACUUUAUAUGAAUUUUUCAGUUUUGUCUCAUGUCUUUCUUAAUAAUCUAUCUUUUUUGCAGGUUUUUAAUCAGAUGGUACUCAUCUUCCACUCAUUUAAAGGUAGAUCUAUUAAUUUUAGAUAUAUAUUUUUGUGUGUUCUAUAAAGGUAGAUUUAUCUAAUCUUCCACUCAUUUUCUCUAUUUUUAAGUCAUUUGAACGUUUUUGGAUAUGCAGGUUUUUCAGAUCUGGAUUUGAUAUGCAGGUUUUUCAGAUCUGGAAGACUUCUAUAAUGUUCUUGAUCGAUCACCGGUUUUUGAUGGUAUAUUACAAAGUCGAGCUCCAAAAGUUAAUUACAUUGUCAACGGACAUGAGUACCAUUUGGCUUACUAUCUCACAGAUGAUAUUUAUCCAAAAUGGGUUACUUUUGUCCAAUCUAUUCCACUCCCGCAAGGUCUGAAAGCAUCCUUAUUCGCUACACAUCAAGAAGCUGUAUGUAAAGAUGUCGAGCGUGCUUUUUGGGUCUUACAAGCUCGAUUUGCCAUAGUAAAAAAUCCAGCUCUUUUGUGGGAUAAAAUAAAAAUUGGAAAGAUAAUGAGAGCAUGUAUCAUUCUACAUAAUAUGAUCGUAGAAGACGAACGAGAUGAGUACACUCAGUUUGAUGUAUCAGUUUUCGCACAACCAGAAUCAAACCGAAGUUCACAAGUGGAUUUCACGUAUUCUACAGAUAUGCCUUCAAAACUCGGCAAUAUGAUGAGCAUUCGGAAUCGAGUUCGUGAUAAUACAAUACAUCAACAAUUGAAAGCGGAUUUGGUUGAGCAUAUAUGACAAAAAUUUGGAACAAUCAAGAUUUCAACUAAUCGGUUUUUUCUCGUUUACGAUUUGUAUUUGUAUUUUUAAUAUGCUUUUAUGUCAUUUUUAUUAAGAAUUUUAAUGUAUGAUUUUAUUUUUAAUCAUUCUAUUUAAAAAUGAAUUAUUUAAGAACCCCUUGGGGUUCUCCCAUUGGGAGAGGAAUACAUAAUUUCCUCAAACAAAGGUUCUUUAACUACUCAAAUCACUUUAUUAAAUAUUAAUUUACUCCUAAAAACCCAUUAGAGGUUCUAAUGGAUGGACUUGCUCUUAACGAUCCCGAAUUACAUAGUUAUGUGUUCUCACACUUUCUCUUACAAGUGUUUUUAACCGCUUGCUUAAACUUUAAAUUUUAGUUUACCAUGUAAUUAAUUAUGAUCAGUGCCAUUGUGUGAUUCCUUUUUCUUAAAUAUCUUAACUUGAAUUAACUAAAUGUUUAAAAGGAAAUUCGUUUUUUAUAAAAAAUAUACAAAAUGUCAGAAUAUGAACUACACAUCAUACAUGCAUGGUUGCAUGGCAUGUAGACGCGGAAACUUGUCACUCCUCCACAUUUGAGAUUCCAACACCUAAUCGCUACAAAAACCUUAUAGAUUCUCCCUUUCUCACAAACAAACAAACACAUUCAUGCAAUGUUACACGUGAUCUCCAUGCAGAACAUCUUUCACGCCUAUAAAUACCAACCAACACUCCACUUCCCUCUUCACUCAAACGAAAACAAGCAAAAAACAUACACACAAAUAGCAAAUGGCCAACAAGCUCUUUCUCGUCUCGGCGACUCUCGCCCUCUUCUUCCUUCUCACCAAUGCCUCCAUCUACCGAACGGUCGUAGAAGUCGAGGAAGAUGAUGCCACAAACCCAGCCGGUCCAUUUAGGAUUCCGAAAUGUAGGAAGGAGUUUCAGCAAGCACAACACCUAAGAGCUUGCCAGCAAUGGCUCCACAAGCAGGCAAUGCAGUCCGGUAGUGGUCCAAGCUGGACCCUCGAUGGUGAGUUUGAUUUUGAAGACGACAUGGAGAACCCUCAGAGCCCACAGCAGAGGCCACCGCUACUCCAGCAGUGCUGCAACGAGCUCCACCAGGAAGAGCCACUUUGUGUUUGCCCAACCUUGAAAGGAGCAUCCAAAGCCGUUAAACAACAGGUUCGACAACAGCAAGGACAGCAGGGACAGCAGCUGCAGCAAGUAAUUAGUCGUAUCUACCAGACUGCUACGCACUUACCUAAAGUUUGCAACAUCCCUCAAGUUAGCGUUUGUCCCUUCCAGAAGACCAUGCCUGGACCCUCCUACUAGAUUCCAAACGAAACCCUCGAGUGUAUGAAUGUGGUUGUCGGUAUAUGUCAACGCCACACUUCAUCGCGUAAUAUGUAAGGUCUUAUCUAGGAUGUUUGAGGCUAUGUAAUUAGCACUACUCCAUAAUAAAAGAGGAUUUUAGUGUUUUAUUCGGUGUGCAUGCUCUCUAAGUGGUUCAAGAUUUUAGUUUUCAAGCAAAUUCCAAUCAAAAUUGUGCGUUACUUACAUCGGCUGUUUAACGGCGUGCAAAACACCGAUCGAACUGAUCUACGAGGGCAUAUGCCAUCGUUCAAUCUCUGACCAAGUCUCUUACAAUAAAUUAAUGAAUAAUAAUACUAAUUAAGCAAAAAGAGAGAGAAGUGAACGAUCAGCUCUUCAGACCACCUCCAGGACCCCUAAUGGGUACUGAAAAUUAAAUUAGUGUUUAAUUUAGUGAUUUGAAAGGUUUAGAACCUCUAUUAAUCUAUUUAAUUUUUUCAUCUUCUAUUGGUAGAACUUCAUUGAGGUACUUAAAAAAUAAUUUAUUUUUUUUAAAGUUGAAUGAUUUGAAAGACCAUGAUACAUAAAAUUUUCAGGGGAAUUUGUCAAAACUAACCCACAACUUAAUUUUAAUCCCAAACAUAUACUCAAACUUGAAUCAAAUGCAAAGCUAAUAUAAAAGCCUUGUGAAAUUACAGCUCAACCACUUUUUCUAAGUCAUUUUUACGAAUAUAGCCCUAGUAAAUCGUCUGAGUCGUCUGAGAUGUUGGAAGUCGUCUGGACGACUUCAAAUUAAGUCUUCUGGUGUAGUUGAUCUUAAAAAUAACUUUUAAAUUUUUUAAAAAAUAUUUUGAUAAGCGAAAAAUUAAAAUCAUCUAAUUAUAAACAGUUUUAAGUGAUAUAAAUUAAAAUAUAACAAAAUUGAAUUGUUUUCAACAUAGAUGAGUGUAGGUAGUGAAUCAUGGUAUUCUUUGGUCUAGGGUUUGACAACAUAUGUUGUAGUAUUGUAUGUAUACUUAGGGUUAGAUUUUGGAAAGCUUGAAUGUUUUUUUGAAAAAUUAAUUUUUUACCUAUGCAUGUUUAUUUUUGUGUAUAGUAAAUACUUUUGAAGUUUAAUUUGGUUUUAUGAAGUGUUUAGUUAGUUAAUUAAGUUUAGGGGUAAUGUUUAUGAUCUAGACUACUUACAUUUCAGUCGUAUGGUGAAGAAAUUAAAACAGACGACUUACAUGUAAGUCGUCCAAAUAUUUCCGCCUAAAAUUUUUUUAAAAAUUAUUUUCCCGCUUAAAUAAUAUAAACCAGACGACUUACUUGUAAGUCGUCUAGAAAGUGUUCUAUUUUAGUUUCUCACUAAAAAUAUUUUAAUUUCCCGCUAAAAAUAUUAAAACCUUCUGGACGACUUACAAGUAAGUCGUCUGAAUCAAACAUAUUUAACCUAAUUGAAUUUUUUGUCUCCCUAUAUAAAGAAAAAUUUACACAUUUUCUCUCCUCCUCUCAAAUGGCUGCAACAAAAAUGUAAUGUUCAUCACUCUAAAAGUCUUCAACCUCUCUCUAAUCUUUUUGACUUGAAAACACCAAACUUUAUAUGAAUUUUUCAGUUUUGUCUCAUGUCUUUCUUAAUAAUCUAUCUUUUUUGCAGGUUUUUAAUCAGAUGGUACUCAUCUUCCACUCAUUUAAAGGUAGAUCUAUUAGUUUUAGAUAUGUAUUUUUGUGUGUUCUAUAAAUGUAGAUUUAUCUAAUCUUCCACUCAUUUUCUCUAUUUUUAAGUCAUUUGAACGUUUUUGGAUAUGCAGGUUUUUCAGAUCUGGAUUUGAUAUGCAGGUUUUUCAGAUCUGGAAGACUUCUGGGACGACUUACCUGUUAGUCGUCUGGAAGUCGUCUGGAAGUCGUCUGGACUUCUUGGAAGUCUUCUGACAAAGUCGUCUGGACUUCCAGGAAGUCGUCUGGACUUCGACGAAGUCGUCUGGACUUCCAGGAAGUCGUCUGGACUUCCAGGAAGUCGUCUGGACUUCCAGGAAGUCGUCUGGACUUCCAGGAAGUCGUCUGGACUUCCAGGAAGUCGUCUGGACUUCCAGGAAGUCGUCUGGACUUCCAGGAAGUCGUCUGGACUUCCAGGAAGUCGUCUGGACUUCAUGGAAGUCUUCUGACGAAGUCUCCCUUUCAUAAUAGAUCUGAGCGUUUUGGUAAGUUCUUAUGUCUGAUUUUUCUUCAUUUGGUAACUUCUUGUUGUAUAAAGUUCUUACUUUUUUCCCAAACUAAAACUCUCCAAACCCACUCUAAUCUCUUUGACUUGAAAACACCAAACUUUAUAUGAAUUUUCCAGUUUUGUCUCAUGUCUUUCUUACUAAUCUAUCUUUUUUGCAGGUUUUUAAUUAGAUGGUACUCAUCUUCCACUAAUUUAAAGGUAGAUCUAUUAUUUUUAGAUAUGUAUUUUUGUGUGUUCUGUAAAGGUAGAUUUAUCUAAUCUUUCACUCAUUUUUUCUGUUUUUAAGCCAUUUGAACGUUUUUGGAUAUGCAGGUUUUUCAGAUCUGGAUUUGAUAUGCAGGUUUUUCAGAUCUGGAAGACUUCUGGGACGACUUACCUGUUAGUCGUCUAAAAUAUAAUGCACUAGACGACUUCCAGGAAGUCUUCCAGACGACUUCCAUUUCAGUCGUCUAGACUUCCUAAAAGUCGUCUAGACUUCCUGGAAGUCAUCUGGAAGUCGUCUGGACUUUCUGGAAGUCUUCUGACAAAGUCUUCUUCCAUAUCAAGUGGAGUCCAAGCUUGUCUUUGUAGAGGAAUGAUCUAUAAUAGUUUUGUUUGUGGUCUGUUUUGUGAAUUGCAUGUCUACUCUUUUAGUUGUGAAUUUUUUGUAAAAUCAGUAAUAAUGUUUUCCAAGAUGUAUUAAAUGUGCUAACAAUGUGUUUACACAUUUACAAAUCAAUGAAAUAAUAAACUUCAGUAGCCUUUUUUUAUCAAUAAUAAACAAAUCAAUGAAAUAAUAAACUUCAGUAGCCCGUCUUCCGCUGAUCCUCUCACCAUUUCUUGCGCAUAUAACAAUGCUCUGUAUGAAGUGGUGUAAUCAAGUGUCAUGCCAAACAUGUUCUUCAUUGCAUCUUUGAUAUGCUGCGGAUUCAACCCAUCAAUGAUUCCAACACGAUCUAUGAAAAGUCGACCAAUGUACUUCGGAGUACAGCGUUUCCGCUGAGCGAUUCUGUCUGGAAUGGAACAUGUAUGAGUUGCCACAUACUUGGUUACCCGAAACGUUUUAGUCCCAUGUUUCACACUUGCUCGGACCUUCCAUUGACAACCACUAACAUGAUAUGUUGCCACAAAGAGAGUUUUCGUUGACUUGAAUAUUCUGAAGGAGAACCUACGCCUCACCGCUGUCAACCGCAACUCUGAAAGCAGUGCAUCCUUACUAGCAAAACUCUGGUUGACAUAGAUUCUGUCUACAGAUGAUCCUUCUCCUUCACAACCAUAUGCCCAAAACAGAUUUCAUCAUCUUCUUCCUCAUCCUCGUCUUUAACCAUUCCAUACUCACUAUAAUCAUCAGCAUCAGCGACAACAGGGAUGUCAGCAUCCUCUUCCCCAUCAUGAUCCUCAGCUUCAUGCCCCUCCUCAGCUUCAUCCCCCUCCUCAGCUUCAUGCCCCUCUUCAGCUUCAUCCCCCUCCUCAGCUUCAUCCCCCUCCUCAGCCUCAUCUCCCACAUGAUCUUCAUCCCUUUUCUCUGAAACCGUUCUCAUCUUGCUAAAGCUUGAUACACAAAGACGUACUUCAUGCAUUUUAGUUAUCUCGAGCAAGUUCUGAACUUGUAUAUCACUUGUAACAUGAAUAGGAGGAAGGUCUGGAGCCAUCUGUUGUAAUGAGUAGGUUAACUCCACAGACUCUAUGAAACUUCAAUCUAAGUACUCAUGAUGACUAAACUAUACGUCGUCUGGUCAACGCAGAGGUUAUUUUUGCAAUUGACUUUGAAAUCUGUUAUUUCAGACGACUGAAAAAUAAGUCGUCUACUUUUGUUUGGUUUAAAGAAAAAACUCCAAAAAAGCUAGACGACUUACAUUUCAGUCGUCAUGGGUUAGUUUUGCAUUUGACUGGAUUAUUUCAGAAGUUUUACUUUCCUGGACGACUUAGAUUUCAGUCGUCUCGUGAAAAUUAAAAUAAUAAUAUUUUUUUUAAAACUAGACGACUUACAAUUAAGUCGUCAUAUGUUAGUUUUGCAAUUGAAAAAGAAAACUUCAAUAUUUAAUUAUAUAUAGAUGACUUACAAUUCCGUCGUCCGUCAGACGACUUACGUGUAAGUCGUCCAGGAUUUACGAGGUUUGACCAGAAUCUCGGAAUAAAAUCCUGGCUGAAUUGUAAGUCGUCUGGGUAUGAUUAAAUAUUGAAGUUUUUUUUUCAAUUGCAAAACUAACCUAUGACGACUUAAUUGUAAGUCGUCUAGUGUUAAUAAAAUAUUGAUAUUUCAAUUUUCACCAGACGACUGAAAUGUAAGUCGUCCGGGAAAGUCAAACUUCUGAAAUAUUCUAGUCAAAUGCAAAACUAACUUAUGACGUCUGAAAUGUAACUGUGUUUGACUUUAAGUUGUAGGUCAAUUCUGCCAAAAGCCUAAAUUUUUAUUAAAAAUGACAUAAAAGCAUAUUAAAAAUGCAAAUACAAACCGUAAACGAGAAAAACAGAUUAGUUGAAAUCUUGAUUUGUUCCACUUUAGUCGUCUGAGAAAACCGAUUUCAAAGUCAAUUGCAAAAAUAACCUCUGCGUUGACCAGACGACUUCAAACUUGAUUCUGAAUGCUCAUCAUAUUGCCGAGAUUUGAAGGCAUAUCUGUAGAAAACGAGAAAUCCACUUCUGAACUUCGGUUUGAAUCCGAAUUUUUGAAAAUUGAAAUAUCAAACUGAGUGUAUCCAUCUCGUUCGUCUUUUACGAUCAUAUUAUGUAGAAUGAUACAUGCUCUCAUUAUCUUUCCAAUUUUUAUUUUAUCCCACAAAAGAGGUGGAUUUUUUACUAUGGCAAAUCGAGCUUGCAUGACCCCAAAACCUGAAAUUGGUUGUUCAUGAUGGUUGGGGUAUUGAUGACAAUGGCAAUAUUGUAAUUACUUGAAGAUGAUGAGGGUGAGAGAGUAAAAAUGUUAUUUUCGAAAAGAAAAAAAAUUGAUGGCAUUUUCGUAAAUUAUAUGAACUUGUGGGGUGAAUAGGGCAAAACCAAUUUCCAAAAAAAAGGAGGUUAGUUCUGUGUUUGACUUUAAGUUGUAGGUCAAUUCUGCCAAAAGCCUAAAUUUUUAUUAAAAAUGACAUAAAAGCAUAUUAAAAAUGCAAAUACAAACCGUAAACGAGAAAAACAGAUUAGUUGAAAUCUUGAUUUGUUCCAAAUUUUUGCCAUAUAUUCUCAACCAAAUCCGCUUUCAAUCGUUGAUGUAUUGUUCUAUCACAAACUUGAUUCUGAAUGCUCAUCAUAUUGCCGAGAUUUGAAGGCAUAUCUGUAGAAAACGAGAAAUCCACUUCUGAACUUCGGUUUGAAUCCGAAUUUUUGAAAAUUGAAAUAUCAAACUGAGUGUAUCCAUCUCGUUCGUCUUUUACGAUCAUAUUAUGUAGAAUGAUACAUGCUCUCAUUAUCUUUCCAAUUUUUAUUUUAUCCCACAAAAGAGGUGGAUUUUUUACUAUGGCAAAUCGAGCUUGCAUGACCCCAAAACCUCGCUCGACAUCUUUACGUACAGCUUCUUAAAGUGUAGCGAAUAAAGAUGCUUUUGGACCUUGCGGAAGUGGAAUAGAUUGGACAAAAGUAACCCAUUUUGGAUAAAUAUCAUAUGUGAGAUAGUAAGCCAUUUGGUACUCGUGUCCGUUGACAGUGUAGUUAACUUUCGGAGCUCGACCUUGUAAUAUAUCAUCAAAAACUGGUGAUUGAUCAAGAACAUUGAUAUCGUUUAAUGUGCCUAGAGGUCCGAAAAACGCGUGUCAUAUCCAGAGGUCUUGUGAAGCUACAACCUCUAGAACAAUUGUUGGCUUUCCUGAUCCACGUGUAUAUUGUCUUUUCCAUGCGGUUGGACAAUUCUUCCACUCCCAAUGCAUACAAUCAAUGCUUCCUAUCAUCCCGGGAAAUCCGCGUAGCUCUCCAAUAUCGAGUAGUCGUUGAAGAUCUUCUGGAGUGGGUCUUCUUAGAUACUCAUCUCCAAAUAAAUUUAUGAUUCCUUGAACAAAAUGUUCUAAGCAUAAAAGCGCGGUAGUCUCACCAAGUCAGAGGUAUUCGUCGACCGCAUCAGCUGGGCAACCAUAUGCCAUCAUACGAAUUGCUGCCAUUUUCUUUUGUAACGGAGAGAGACCGAACCUUCUAGUAGCAUCUCCUCUUUGUUGAAAGUAUGAUAUUUCAGCGGAGAGUCGAUCAACAAUACGCCUGAACAAGGAUUUGUUCAUUCGAAAACAGCAUUGAAACAUGUGCGAAGGAUAUGUUGCAUCUUCACUAAAAUAAUCGUUCCAUAACUGCAUGUGUCCUUGUUCUCGUUGUCUUUCAAUGUAUGCUCGUUUAUUUUUUGGCGUUGAUGUUUCUUGACGAUCUUCAUAACGAGUGAGAAGAUUUUCAAAUUGUUGAUCGAAAAUUUGGUCCAAUCUCUCCUCCAUCAUAUCUUCGUAAUUAUUAUUAGAAGAAGAAGCCAUUUAGAAGAGAAAUGGUAAAUGAAUUUUUUUUUUUUUUGUAUAAAAGAAAUGUUGGAUGUUGUUUUCUUGUACGAUGGAAAGAGAAGGGAGGUAAACAAAUAAAAGAGCUUCAAACUUGUUCUUCUACACUCAGAAAAAAAAGAAACAAAGGAAAUAUUUUUUUUUAAUAUGGUAUAAGAGAAAUGUUUGAUGUUGUUUUCUUGUACAAUGGAAAGAGAAGAGGGGUAAACAAAUAAAAGAGGUUCAAACUUGUUCUUCUACACUCGGAAAGAAAAGAAGCAAAGGAAAAUUUUUUUUUAAUGGUAGAAGAGAAAUGUUCUUUUACACUCGGAGGAAACACAACUUAGAAAGGAAACACAAGUUGCUUUACAACUUGCAAACCAGCUAUGCAGCACGUUGGUUUUCUUGUACUGUCUUCUUGUCUUUACAAGUCACAUGUUCCUGUCUUCUUGUUCUGUCAAUGCACUGGAUGAUCCACAUGCUACUUUAUGUCACACGCUCUUCUUGUCUUCUUUAUGUCACAUGCUAUUGUCGCUUUACCUGCACAAGCACGAGACAAGUCUCAGUACAACACGAGAGAACAACACACACGUCUCAGUACAAUACACGAGAGCAACAGAAGAACACACACAAUUUCAUUAAUAUGUCACAUGCUAAUACAAACUCGACAUCAAGCAUAAAGCAACGAGAGAGAGCAAAAGAAGAACACACACAAUUUCAUGCUAAUACAGACUCCAUUAACUAACAGACUCGACACAAACAUCAUAAAGACACAAACAACAUACAUACUUGGCAAUUUCAACACAAAAAUCAUAAGACUCAAACUAACAUAUCAUUAAUAAGCUUGUUUUUUAAGGCAAUUUCGAGUUCAGUUAAUGGUUCAGUCUUGGCAAUGAGGCUAUCAAGCAAUUUUUGCUUGUUAAGAGUUUCCUUCAAAGCAAAAUCCGCUUGCCUAAUCUCCCAGAUGCUCUGAAAUUCCCUCCUCUCCUUCUCUUCCUCUUCCAAAGUAGCUUGCUUCCUCACUGGUUUUUUUCCUUUUGCCUUUGCUGCUUAAACCCCAACUGGCCGACCCAUAGCUUCCUCUCCAUGGCCAUCUUGCACAGAGGAUGAUGAUUGUGUCGUCUGGGCAUCCAACUUCCUUCUUUUAGACUAAACUUUAUCCUUAGUAGAAGAAGCUCCACUCCAUUCCUGAUCAUAACGAAGUUCCAACCAUGCAUGCUCCAUUGUGAACUUCUUCUUGUAAUCAUCAAAGUAAAUCUCGUGAGCCAUUUUCAAGACGUCAUUCUCGUUCUGUCCACUCGAUCUCUGUUUCGUUGCAGCUUCAUAGCACCCAACAAACUUACACACGGCUUCAUUGAUUUUCCCCCACCUUGAUUUACAGUUGUUGUCUCUCUGGGCUGCAAACCAUCGAGCUUGGGACUUGCAGUAUAGUAAGCAGCAAUUCGUUUCCAAAACGUACUUGCUUUCUGCUCAUUCUCAACCACUGCAUCCUUGGAAGUGUUCAACCAAGCACUUAUCAGCACACCAUCUUCUGUUGGUGACCAUUUAUGCCUCUCUUUACGGUCAGACACAGUCUCUGCGUCUUCAUUGCCAUCUUCAUUCCAUUAUGAACAGAAAACAGAGGCAUCAGACGCAGAGACAGACUGAUAAGGCUCACGAGGGACAGACUAAUAAGGCUCAUGAGGGACAGACGCAGAGACUGACUCAUUCCAUUGAGUGUUUGGUUGUUGACUGGUCAAGAAGUUUUGAAAGCUAUAUUGUUGAAUAUAAGGAUCCAUACGAGUUUUGGAGAAGAGGUUUUGAAAGCUAAAAAGAAAGAACAAAAUAGAAGGAAAUAGUUUUGGAGAAGUAAAUAAAUUUGGAGUCAUGGUUUAUAGUUGUUAAAGUUUUUUGUUGUUGAAGUUUUAAUGGAAAGUUUUAAUGGCAAGUUUAAAGUUUGAAGUUGGAGAAGUUUUAAGUUGUUAAAGUUUUAAUGACAAGAGAAUCAAUAUCCCUUUAUUAUUAUUUGAGGAGCAUUAUAGAUAAUUAACUUUUAGUUCAUGUGUUAUUUUCAAAAUUGUCAUUUCCUGCGUGGCAGCACCAUAAACCCUCUCACAUCUUAUAUUCAAAAAUCAUUUGUUAACUAGAUUAAUUACAAUAAUUGUCAUUGCUUGCCAUUGAUCAUUUGAUUAUAAUUUUACUAAUAUACUGUAAGCUUCUUCAUUACAAUGACUAACAAAACAUUGACGUCCAUGUUUAAUGCGUUUUCAUUAUAAUUCAAACUUACGGGCGUAUAGUCAUUUAUUCCCAGAUCCGGUCCACAAAGUUAAUUAUAUAUGAGAUAACGAUUUUGUAGAUGGUAUAAUCCGAUACAUAUAUAACUAAAAUAAGUAUAAUUUAUAACACGUGUAUGUGGACCAUCUAUAAUGAUUCGGAUUAUACCAUUAUGUGCAUAUGUAUCGGAUUUAAUGUAACAAAAUAUUACCGUUAAAAUUAUAAUCUCUUCACAAUGUUAGCAGAACUCUAACAUAUGUUAUAAAUUAUACUUAUUAUAGUUAAUAUUUAAAUAGAGUGAGACAAAAAUAUAUGCACACGUUUUUACAAGUAUUCAUCAUAUAGCAUUUUAUAAUAUGUUAGACAUUAUAUAUAUAAAUGUGAUAUAAGUAUAAUGCCUAACUAUAGUCUAAUUCAAAAAAAUGUCUAACUAUAGUGUCUACAAAUUAAUUUCGUUUAAGGACUUAUCGUAACAAGGGGAUGUCUAACUAUUACGAAAUCACGAUGGCCCAUAUAACUCCGUUUAAGGACUUAUCAUAAUUGUAAUUGUAAACCAUGAUUAAUGAUUGCUACGAAAUCACGACGUCUAACUAUUAAUAUUAAAAAGAAACAUGAUUUGCAAUAACUUUGUUCAAAUCUGGGUGAAAGUUAAAAAGACACUUCUAAUAACGUUGCAAUAUAUAUGAUAUAUAUGAAAGUUGAAAGGAAACUUCUAAUAAUUUUAGUUGUUCUAUCUCUUAAUGAAACGUGAUUUGCAAGGACAACCGUAAUUAAUGAUUGUUAAAAGGAAACUUCUAAUAACUUUGAUAUAUUUUUAAAUUACGAAUUUGGUAACGUUUUGGUAAUAAUACUUGAAUCAAAUCCGCCAUUAUUUUUUAUAAAAUUUUGGUAAUAAUAGGGAGUCGAUUAUGGUUACAAAAUUUUGUCAACUAUUAAUAUGUUGUAUAUAAGGAAGUUAUAUUGUGGAUUCAAAUUAUUCGAAUCAAUUAACAAUCGUGAAUUUUAUUUAUUUUGUUCAAUUGUAAUUUAUAAAAGGAAGUUCGAUUAUAGUGUCUACAAAAUUUAGGUAAGUUACGAUUACCAUUGGAGCCCAAGUUAUGUGAAAUUAAAUACAGUAGAACAUCUAUAAAUUAAUAAUGUUGAGAUUUUGAAAUUUAAUUAAUUUAUAGAGAUAUUAAUGUACAAAAGUUUCCUUAUUUAGAUUUUUUAUUUUAAGAUAUAUUUAUUCUAAGAUAAAAAAAAAUAUUUGAUUUUAGUGUAUAAACAUUAAUUAUUAUUUUUUGAAAAUUCACAUUUAUAUUAAUUUUAUUAUAUUAUUUGGUGUAUAUAAUAUAUAUCGCAUAGAAGUUAAAUGUGCUUUUAGAUAUAAUAUUACUAAAUCUCAUCAAAAUUUAUUAAGUGUUAAGAAAAUAUAAAGAUAAUUCUAUUGUGAAUAUAAAACAAACAAUAUAAUAGUAGGUUCUUACUUAUAUAAAAUAUGUAUAUAUAGAAAUUAUUAAUUUAUAAUUUUAAUGGGACCAUAUAUUUACAUAGAAUUUUCUAAAAAAUUAUUAUCUUAUUAUUUUAUCUAUUGUGUCAAAUUUUGAACCGACCCAAGUUGGGAUCGGCAAAAUUUAUUAAUUUAUAGAGAUUAUUAAUUUAUUGAGUAUUAAUUUAUAGAGGUUCUAGAGUAUGUAAUAAUAUAUUUAAUUACAGUGUAUCAUUAAUCACAUGGGCGCUGCCUUCUUAAUAUAAAUAUAUGUUCUCUAAAAUUCAUCGACUCACCACACACUUCUUCUCGACUUCCUAAUUAUCAAAACAUUCUCUGGAGCAAACAAAUGGUUGGCUUUAACUCCGUUUCAGAAAGUGGUAUAUCAGUUCGUUUAGUGAAUUUUUUAAGUAUGUAUGUUUUGUUCGGUAAACUAAUUCUUAGUUAUUUCUCUCUAUAGGAUUGCAAACCAGAAGUUCUGAAGACCCUUUAUCAGUUUUUUAUUUGUUUCCUUGUAAUUUGUUUCUUUCGUAUUUUAUUUUUCUAUUACUUAUGUUUUAAAUAUUAUAAUCAUAAUUUUAUUUAUGAAAUCAAUAAUUAUAUUUCCUAUGUUUUGUUUUGUCUUAAAUUCAUAAUAAAUUAAUAAAAGUUAUUGCAUACUAUUAUAUAUUUUUUACAUAAAAUAUAUCUAAUUUACACAUAACCAACUACAAAAAACAAUCUUUUUCAAAAAAAAAACAAUAUUUUUCAAAAAAAACACUUAAGAUUACAUUAUAUUCACACUUUCGUUCCAUAUAUAUCAUUAGAUCUAAUAUUUUUGUCUAUAACUUUAAAAUUUCUAAUAUCUGUAAAAUUAUUUAAAAAAAUUUCUUUUGAUCAUUCACUCCGCGUAUGGCGUGGGUUAUCACUUAGUGUAUACGCUAAAACAACCACGCAACCUAAAUAUCAAAACUAAAGUUCAUUUAAUUCUCAACCAUUUUCUAAAUCACGUAAUCAAUAUCAUGCUCACCAUUAAAAGCAAAUCUACUUAGACAGAAAAUCUACCUUACCUCUUCUUAACUCUGAAAUUAAAAGACAUAAGCUUUGAUGACCAUGAAUCCAUUGCCUUUCUUCCACAACCAACAAAGAAAGUAAAAUUAAAAGUUAUUCUCUGUAAAGAAAUAAAAUGAGUCAAAUUACACAGUAAGAGUAAUGUGACAAAUAUCAUAUGAUAUCGGCGAUGACUUUGGCGAAAGCGAUUUUUAGGGUUCCAAGAUGAUUUUUUCACGGUGGCGAGUUAUGGAUCGGCGACGGAUCCGAGAGGGUGGAGAGAGGGCUUUAUGCUAUAGGGAAGCUGAGGAGGAGUCUCGGGUUAGUGAGGGAUUUUGUGGGUUUAAUCGAUCUCGGGAGAUCUGGUUAGGUGAUUUGAGGGGUUGCGAUAAUCUCUUACAAGGAUUGGACUUGGUAAUCUUCAUUUUACGAGGAGGAGAGGCUACAAGGGAUGAGGAGGACAGGGAAACUUUUGGUACUAGAUCGGGAUUUGGAUUGAUGGUCAUUUUCCGGAGUGGUUUGCGGUUCCUAGGUUGGAAGAGAGGAGAUAGGGGUGGAUCGGGUAGGAAGGGUCCUGUGCUGCUGAUCACGUAUUCUUGGAUGACAAGGAGUUUUCAAACUUUCACUAUAUUAUUCCCAACUCAAGGCUUAAUAAAGGACACAAGCAGAAGUGAGCAGGUUCUCAUUGCUGCUUUUGGAAGGGUAGUGUUCUACUUUGCUUGGACACGAGAUAGCUUUACAAUCAGGUUUUACUAUUUAUAUGCACUGUUUGCUUGGCAUGAUGCUUAUUGGUAUGAGGAUAUAAGAAAAGUGUUUCAAGCUCGAGGAUGGUAUCUUGCGUCUUUAAGUUCGGUGAUAUUGGUUUCAUUAGACAAGAAUAUGGAGAGGAGCCAGUUCGGCCAAGUGACAAUGGUCACUGUAAUGGGUGUGGGGUCUGCUUUGAAUGACAUGGGGUUAAUGCGAUGGUCUCAGGGUGCUAAUGAGGAGGAUUUUUUCUUAUCUCAUGAUUGGGUUAAAAGGCUUAUGUGUCUUAGUGGUUCCGUACAUUUUGUUUUCAUAUUUUUAAUUUUUUGGGUAAUGUUUACUAAUGCAGUUUUACUUGGAUGUUUUGGACUUUAUGGGAGCCAAAUAUGGUAUGCUUGGGUUUUAAAAGGGUGCUUACUAAUUUGUAGUUUGCUUGGGGGUUGGAAUGCAUGGAAUAAAUUUGUUGACUUUGGUGUUUGGAUUUGUUUCAAAUCGUUGCAACGAAGGGAUCAGAAUUUUUUACUUAUGCAAUUUGAUGUUCAUGGGAGGGAAAUAAAGGAGUUGGUACAUAUGUGUUUUGUUGGUUUUGGGAUGUGGCUCGGGACAGAGCAGAACGCUUUGGCUGCACGGACUCGAGGCCUGCGGCUGGUCUCUUUAAACCAGUUGCAGAGAGUUUCUUUGGAGAGGCUUAAAGUGCUCGUUUUGGGAACAUACAGUUCAGUCAUUGUUAUUGGUUCAGGAGCUUCCACAGACUUAUAUAUGUCGUACGUGAAGCGUGUGAUUUAUCUGUUUGGUUUCUUUAUUAUAGUUUAUAUGUUUGGUUUCUCUAUUAUGGUUUUUAUUGGACCCAAUUUAAAGGGUGAGGUUGAGCUGGACAUAAUGUAUAGACUUGGAAUGGAGCAAGGGUCUAUUUUUUUCAUAUUGAAGCUGUUUACUAUGACGGUUAAUUUGGGAGUUCGGUGGAUUAUUGCUUCUUGGUGGUUGGGAUUUCAGGGUAUCAUCAAACCUAAUUUCGCUAAACUCUUGGGAGUUUUUAUUUAUAACUUUAAAUGAGAGUGCUUAGUUGGAAUUGUAGAGGUAUGGGAAGCAAGUGGACUAUGAGCUAUCUAAGAGAGAUAUGGUAUAAACAUAAACCGGAUUUUUUAUUUUUAUCUGAAACAAAACAAGACUCAAAAUUUGUUCAAGAUUUCCAAGCACAUAUUGGAUUUGAUAAUUUGUUCACGGUUGAUCCAUUGGGAAGGAGUGGUGGUUUAGCGCUUUUUUACAACAAUGAUUCUCAGGUCCAAGUCUUAUAUUCUAGUAAUAGAAUGAUCGAUGUGGAAGCGGUGACCCACGGAAAGACGGUUUAUCUUACGUUUGUGUAUGGUGAUCCUGUUCCAAAAUUAAGAGAACAAGUGUGGGAACGUUUGACGAGAUAUGGACUUGCGCGUUCAGAACCCUGGUUCAUCAUUGGGGAUUUAAAUGAGAUUACUGGAAAUCAUGAAAAGGAUGGAGGAUCACUGAGGAGUGCGGAUUCUUUUAUUCCUUUUAAUAAUAUGAUAAGGAAUACUGGGUUAUUGGAAUUUCCGGCACGGGGAAAUAAAAUGUCAUGGCAAGGGAGAAGGGGAAAAGGAAAAGGGGCAGUUACGGUAAGAUGUCGUCUAGAUCGAGCUUUAGCAAAUGAGGAGUGGCAUACUUUGUUUCCAUGUUCUUUUACAGAAUACUUAGGGAUGGUGGCUUCUGAUCAUCGCCCAGUUGUGGCUUAUCUGAAUGAUAAAGUCACUAGGAGAAAAGGGCAAUUUCGGUUUGAUAAAAGAUGGAUUGCACAAGAAGGUCUUUUGGAAUCAAUUACAAUGGGCUGGUCAGAUUAUAGUGCAACAAGGGAAACUGGGAUAGUGGAAAAAAUUAGUAAUUGUCGACAUGAAAUUGCUAAAUGGCGGAAAAAUAAUCCUCCUUAUGGGAAGGACAAAAUUAAUGAGUUACAAAAAGCUCUUGAAGAGGUACAAACAGAUAAUUCUAGAUCUCAAGAGGAUAUUAUCGAGGUCUCAAAGAAGUUGCAAGAUGCAUAUAAAGAUGAAGAGGAGUAUUGGCACCAAAAGAGUAGGAAUACGUGGUAUACAUCUGGGGAUCUCAAUACAAAAUUCUAUCAUGCUUUGACUAAGCAACGACGGGUACGUAAUCGGAUUGUGGGUUUAUAUGAUGCUUUGGGAAAUUGGAUUACGGAAGAUAUGGGUGUGGAAAAAGUGGCAGUGGACUAUUUCGAAGAGCUUUUCACUACCACUUCUCCAACGGAGUUUGAUGACUUUCUCACAGAGGUAUCACCAGGUAUUACUCCUCAAAUGAACCAACGUCUGUUAAGAGUAGCAUCAGAGGAUGAGGUCAGAGAAGCCCUUUUUAUGAUGCAUCCAGAGAAGGCACCAGGACCGGAUGGUAUGACAGCUCUUUUCUUUCAACACUCCUGGCAUAUUAUUAAGAAGGACUUGGUGGACAUGGUGAAUAAUUUUUUGGUUACUGGAACAUUGGAUCCGAGGUUAAAUAUUACUAAUAUUUGUAUGAUUCCAAAAACGGAGAGGCCUACAAGGAUGACAGAACUGAGGCCGAUUAGUCUGUGUAAUGUUGGGUAUAAAAUUAUUUCGAAGGUUCUGUGUCAGAGAUUGAAGAUAUGUCUACCUUCUCUUAUUUCAGAAACUCAGUCAGCUUUUGUGCCAGGAAGGUUAAUCUCUGAUAAUAUUCUUAUUGCUCAGGAAAUGUUUCAUGGAUUACGGACGAACAAGGCGUGCAAAGGAAAAUAUAUGGCAAUUAAAACGGACAUGAGUAAAGCUUAUGAUAGAGUGGAAUGGGAUUUUAUAAAGGCUCUCCUACAGAAGAUGGGUUUUGAUUUUCAUUGGAUUACAUUAAUGAUGGAGUGUAUAUCAUCGGUUCAAUAUCGGGUCCUACUUAAUGGACAGCCACGGGGACUUAUCGUUCCACAUAGGGGUUUACGACAAGGGGAUCCUUUAUCACCUUAUUUAUUUAUCCUGUGUACUGAGGCUCUAAUUGCAAAUAUUAAAAAGGCGGAAAGAAGGAAACUUUUGACGGGAAUGAAGGUAGCUAGAGCAUGUCCAUCGAUAUCUCAUCUGCUUUUUGCGGAUGAUAGUCUUUUUUUCUGUAAAGCUUUGAAAGAGGAAUGCCAUACUAUCCUUAGGAUCUUAAAGGAAUAUGAGGUUGUAUCAGGUCAGCUUAUAAACUUUGAUAAGUCCUCUAUCCAAUUCGGGCACAAUAUUGAGGAAUCAACUAGACAGGACUUAAGAGAUAUAUUGGGAAUUCAGAAUCUUGGAGGUAUGGGAUCUUAUCUAGGUCUUCCAGAAAAUUUGGGAGGAUCCAAGAUACAGGUUUUUAGCUUUGUGCAGGACCGGCUAAAUAAUAGGGUUAAUGGUUGGACUUUUAAGUUCUUCACAAAGGGAGGAAAAGAAGUGAUUAUUAAAUCUGUGGUAACGGCAUUACCAAACCAUGUGAUGUCUGUUUACCGUUUACCUAAGGCAACAACUAAAAAACUGACGACCGCGGUCGCACAAUUCUGGUGGAGCCCAGGGGGAAGGACAAGAGGUAUGCACUGGAAAUCAUGGGAUAAAGUGUGUCUUGAUAAGGAAGCUGGGGGCUUAGGUUUCAAGGAUAUUACAGAUUUUAAUACAGCAAUGCUUGGUAAACAGUUGUGGCGCUUGAUCGAGAAGCCAAAUACAUUAUUUUCCCGGGUUUUUAAGGGACGGUAUUACAGGAAUGCAUCACCCCUGGAACCGAUUCGCUCUUAUUCUCCGUCAUAUGGUUGGCGGAGUAUAGUUUCUGCUAGAUCUCUGGUAAGCAAAGGACUAAUCAAAAGGGUGGGAUCAGGAUCAUCUAUAUCUGUAUGGAACGAUCCAUGGCUCCCAACCACUCGCCCGAGACCAGCAAAUAAAAAUCAACAUAUUUUCGAUCCAAACCUCACAGUGGAUUCUCUUAUUGACUCUACUUCGCGGACAUGGAAUUCGCAUGCACUCAGGGCUAUGAUAGAUCCCCAGGAUGUAAAAAUUAUAGAAAGUAUACCACUGAGUAAAACCCAGAUGGUGGACAGGGAUGGAUGGCAUUUCACAAACAAUGGGAAGUAUACGGUUAAAUCAGGAUAUCAGAUCGAACGGGUUUAUCCAGACAGGGAAAGACCACCUUUAAAGUUUGGACCCACGGUUGAUGCUUUGAAGGCUUUCUGCUGGAAAAUACGGUGCCCCCCAAAGUUAAAACAUUUCUUAUGGCAAUUGGUUACAGGUUGUAUAGCAGUCAAGAAGAAUCUGAAAGCGAGAGGAAUACAAGGUGACACCUGCUGUGCACGUUGCGGAGCGGAGGAGGAAUCGAUCAAUCAUGUGUUUUUUGAAUGUCCUCCUGCACUUCAGGUUUGGGCUCUCUCCAAGAUACCAUCAAAUCCAACUAUGUUCCCAACGAGUUCCCUUUUUACAAAUAUGGAUCAUCUCUUCUGGAGAGUCUCUCCCCCGAUGGAGGACCAUCAAUUUGCAUGGAUACUUUGGUAUAUUUGGAAAGGAAGGAACAAUAAAGUGUUCAGUAAUAUGGACAUGGAUCCAAGAGACACGCUCAAAUUAGCAGAAACAGAGUCAACACUUUGGGCUAAUGCACAUGUAUUGACCGAGACCAGGAUAGGGUCCCAUGUUGAGGUUACGACUCUCCCAUCAAUUCCGGGGAGAUGGUGUUUUACAGAUGGUUCUUGGAAGGAGAAUGAAGUUUUCUCUGGGCAAGGUUGGCUAAGUACUUUAGAAGGCUUUGAUGGGUUGUUAGGAGCAAGGAAUGUCCGAGCUUGUCUAUCCCCUCUACAUGCGGAGAUAGAAGCACUACUUUGGGCAAUGGAAUGUAUGAAAAAUUUACGCCAGUUUCAGGUUACAUUUGCAACGGAUUGUUCUAAGUUGGUGAAGAUGGUUUCGGAACCAGAAGAAUGGCCCGCAUUUGCAAGUUAUUUGGAAGAUAUUAAGUCCCUGAAAGAGGUUUUCACACGUUCGGAGAUUAUCUAUGUACCAAGGAUGCAAAAUUCAAGAGCGGAUAGCCUAGCACGCAGUGCCAGGAAACAACCGUUGUUUGUCGUUCACAUGGAUCAAAAUCUACCGGAGUGGUUUACAGAGUCAGUAUGAGUCUGUAUUUGAUGACAAAAAAAAAAACGUAAAAUUUUAUAUUUUCAUAGAGUUUUUUUUAAAAAAAAAAAAAAAAAAAAAAAAAAGAAAUAAAAUGAUCAAAUAUAUAUAAAAAAUUAUCGAUAAUAUAUACAAAUUAUAUACAAAUAAGCUUAUCAUGCGCAUGGUGCAAGUUUUAUCCUAGUUACAUAUCGAAUGAGACGCAUUUAAUUUUGACCAUGACUAUAUAUAUCAACUUUAACUCAAUAUUUCUGAUUAAGCUCCCAAUAUAUAUUUUCAACUACCUCCAGAGUAUAUAGACUCUCAUCCCACUUAAUGAAUGUUUUUAUUUUAUUUUAUGAAGUUAAGUUUUUACCUUCUUUUUUAAAAAAAUAUCGUUCAUAAGAUGUCACGCCAGGACAUGAACUACACAUGCGUCACACAUAGCAUGCAGAUGCGGACGAUUGUUUUUGUUCGUCAUUUGUCAAUCACUUCAAACACCUAAGAGCUUCUCUUUCACAGAACACACACACACACACACAAUCAUAUGCAUGCAUUAUUACACGUGAUCGCCAUGCAAAUCUCAUUUCUCACCUAUAAAUUAACUCCUCAGCUUCACUCUUUACUCACACCAAAACUCAUCAUUACAAACAAGGUUAAACACAUACACAAAUGGCGAACAAGCUCUUCCUCGUCUCGGCAACUCUCGCCUUCUUCUUCCUUCUCACCAAUGCCUCCGUCUACAGGACGGUUGUGGAAGUCGACGAAGAUGAUGCCACAAACCCAGGCGGCCCAUUUAGGAUUCCAAAGUGUAGGAAGGAGUUUCAGCAAGCACAACACCUAAGAGCUUGCCAACAAUGGCUCCACAAGCAGGCAAUGCAGUCCGGUAGUGGUCCUAGCUUGGCCCUCGCCGGUGAGUUUGAUUUUGAAGACGACAUGGAGAACCCCCAGGGCUCACAGCAGAGGCCGCCACUACUCCAGCAGUGCUGCAACGAGCUCCACCAGGAAGAGCCACUUUGCGUUUGUCCAACCUUGAAAGGAGCAUCCAAAGCAGUUAAAUCCCGGGUUCAACAACAGGGACAAAUGCAGGGACAACAGCAGCAGCAAAUAGUGGGCCGUAUCUACCAGACCGCUAAGCACUUACCUAGAGUUUGCAACAUCCCGCAAGUUAGCGUUUGUCCCUUCCAGAAGACCACCCCUGGGCCCUACUACUAGAUUCCAACGAAACCCUCGAGAGUGUAUAUACCACGGUGAUGAGUGUGGUCGUUGAUGUAUGUUAACACUAAAAAGUCAUCGUGUGUGUUUUAUAAAUAAUGUACGUUAAAAUGUUCGAGGCUAAUGUAAUAAGAACUACUCCGUUGACGGUAAUAAAAGAGAAGUUUUUUUUAUACUGUUGCUCCAUCCUAAAAAGUGAUAAUUAACGACAGAUACGCCCAAAAAAACAAAUUAAUAUACUCACAAUGAAUCAGUAGUCUAAUGAACAUGUUAGACUAAAUGUCUAAUUAAGCCGUUUUUGCCAAAAAAAAAAGGGUUCAAAUCGUCCAUUGGGAUCAAACAAUGACUCAAUCAGGUUUGAUCAGAUACUCGAAAUCCUUUUUGAUCGCAUUCUCAUGAAUCCACUGUAAUAUAACGAUUUCCUAUGUUGUAAAGCCUCUUUAGUAGAAAAAUAACGAUAAGCAGCAAUAUAAAUGUAUUUCAGUUUAAGAUUAGCACUACAAGAAAUUUGGGUUUUAAUAGCAGACUAGUAUAGCAUUUUUUUCGAUUGUGCUAUUGUUGACAUACCUCUUACUUUUAGAUAGCGUUUGUGAAAAUGCAAAUACUAUCUUUGGUUGGUCCGAUUUUAGGAGGAACCCCUAUCCCGGAGCCAAUCCCCUAUUGGUCCUGCGUAAAUGUUUUUUCUAAACCUAGUAUACAUAGCAUUUUCAGUUUUGAAACGCAAUGCAUAAUUAAAAUAAUUGAUUUUUCCUUUCACCCUUGUUUCGCUUUCCUACUCACUAUAUUUUAUUUGCCUCCAAAAACCUUAACACUAAAUUUAAACCCUAAAGUUUUAACACAAUCCCUAAACUCUAAAUAAACUUUAAAUUCUAAAAUUUUAACAUUAAAUCUUAAAUUUAACUUCAUAUCUUAAAUAUAAACUAAAAAAUUACUAUUUUCAAAAGUUAAUCUCAAAUCUUAAAUCAAUACUCCAAACCCUUAACCCUCAAACCCUAUACUCAAAACUUUAUUCUAAACUCCAAACUUUAAAUCUAAAUUCAUAUCAAACUUUUCUAAAAUUUAAUACACUACAAUUUUUAACUACAUGCUAGUCUUAACUUAUAUAUAUAUAUAUAUGUGUAUUUUGCAAAUCUUGAAUUUUGGAGUUUAGGGUAUGUUUAGAGUUAAGAUCUAAAUUUAAAUCUGAAAAAAUUCAAGUUUUUAGAACUAUGUACAUAUCUACUUUAAAUGAAUUAAACAUAGAAUUUUAAUCAAACUUAUAAUAAACAUUAAAAUUAAAGAAAGAUUAGAAACAAAAAAAAUCUGUCGAUGUACAACAAGAUAUAGAACCAAAAUACUACCAAAAUAAACUUUACUGUCCAAAGUGAAAAUAAAGUAAAACAACUAAAAGAAAAAAUUCCUAUUGGUUAGUUCAUAAGCACAAGGAUUGAGCUUUUCACCGUCAGAUGACGGGAUCCUCAUCCAAUGGACCAAAAUUAUUUUUUUAUUCAGUUCUGGAAUUUUUUGAGCAAACAGAUCUCAUAUCUUUCGACACAUUCUCUUAGACAACUUCAUCUCCUCAUCUCUUUCUCCUUAGGCUUUAUUCACUACUAGCCCCCUCAUUCUCUUUGCCAAUCUCUGCUCCAUUUCUCUCUACCCUCGCGAGAUCUCUGCUCCAUGACUCAUCUUCUCUCCCUUUGUCGAUUUAUCUUUUCUUCAUCUUCUUCUCUCUUAUCAAGAAUACUAGAUCUAGAAGCAGAGGCUAAGCAUCGAUGUUUCUCACGAUACUGACAAAUCUCAUUCCGCCGCGAGACGCGGCUGAGGUGGUCGACGACUCCGACACUCGCGGUACUCUCUCUCUCUCUCUCUCUCUCUCUCUAUGUUGAAUAUGACUUUUUUGUUUGUUAAGGUGGUCGCGAGCAGAGAUGGUGGUGCGGCGGGUGAGGACUGGAAGAUGAAGAAGACAACGAAGUGCAUGGAUUGAUGCGACAACGAAGCGCAUGGAAGAACACAACGACGAAGGUGGUGGUGCGAUGGGUGAGGAUUGGAAGAUGAAGACUACAACGAAGGUGGUUGUGCGGCGGAGUUUAGUUAGUAAUUAGGUUAAAGCUUAGUUUAGCUUUUGGUUUAUUAUUUAAUUAGAUUUAUUUUUAUAUUUUUGUAAUCCAAUUUAAUUAUAAAUCAAUUUAAGUAAUAAAGAAAUUUUAAAUCUAUGAAUUAAUUUUAAUUAUGUUUUUAUUUUUAAAUAAUUUACUAAAAAUAAAUAUAAAAUAAAUAAUUUUAAUAUAAAUAAUAACAAAAAACAAACACUAUUAAAAAAUGUUUAAUUGCAUACAAAAAAAUGCUAUAAUAUAUGACAAUAAGAUAGCAUCACGAAAAACCGCUAUCUAAUGUGCUUGACCUACUAUGACGGACGAUGAUACAGCGCUUCAUAAACCGCUAUCGUAUCAUUAGAUAGCGUUUUUCGCCCGCUAAGAAAAACUUUUUUUCUUGUAGUGAUAUAGUUGUUUUCAUCACAGCAUAGCAUGAUAAAAAAUGAUCACUUAACAAAUAUAAUGAUUUUGUUUAUCUAAUGCUUGUCUAUUCAAGAUUUAGAACAUUAAUGUGAUGUUUUGUCCACACAUUGAUAACGCAGACACACUUAAGGUUAACUAGAGAUUGAUCCGCACAUCUGCGCGGAUAUUGAUUCUUACAUUUUUAUACAUUGAUAUUUAUUUUUCAUAAUUAAUGUUAUAUAUUUUACAUGGGUCUUAAUAUAACUAAUUGUAUUCAAAUGAUCUAGACCGAAUAGGGUAAUAUUGUUAUUUUUGGUACAAAUAUCCUAAUCGAUUUCAGAUACAUUUGUAAUUUAGAUAUUUUUAGGUUUAUAUACAUCAUUACCAAACUCAUCCAUACCGAGAAGAACCCAACUCAAAAUCCACACAUAAAUUUAUAAUCAAGUGGGACCUAAUUUCAAAAAAAAGCGAUACCCGAAAAGAACAGCCCGUACUUAAUUGGAUAGCCAAUGUUCAUGCGUUACUGAUUUUAUAAACUAAUAAAAAUGACUCUAACUGAUUUUAUAAACUAAUAAAAAUGAUUAUUUCUAUGUGUUUGGUUAAAUUAAGUGAAAUAGAAAGAGUUUUUUAUUUAGUAAAAUAAUUAUAUGGAUUGAAAAAUUAAGUGAUAAAAAAUGUAAUACAUUUUUAUUACAUUGAUUUAAGUUAUUAUUUUAUUCAUAAAAACAUGUCUUUGAAUUAUUUUUUGGCUUCGUAAUUUUCCACCGAUUGAAACUAAAAUAAAUAAAUAAAUUUUAAUAAAACAAACUAAACCGAAAGUUUAAACAUAUGAAAAACUCAGUUAUUUUACAUUUUUGAUUUUAUAAUUGGCACAAAAUUAAUAUUAAUUAACUAAUAAAUAAAAAUCUGCUAUAUUAUUAUUAUGGUAAUAUAAUUAAUGAUGUGAUGUAUUGAUAAGAUAAUAUAAUUAAUGAAAUUGUUAAACUGAGUGAAAUAUGGAAAGACAAUUAAUGUAAUUAUAUUAAUGAAACUAAUAAAAAGACAUUAUACUUCUUUUUUAUACUAUUAUCCAUGUUUUCAAAAAAUUCUUAUUUAUAAUGAUAUUCAUGUUUUCAAACAAUAUCAAAUAGAUACUUCAAUUUUAAUAAUAACUAGAUCUUGAUCCGUGCGUCCGUACGGGUGUUUGCUUUAAUUUGUAAGAACAUUAUAAAAUUCAUAACUAUUUUAAAAAUUAUGGUAUCGUUAUAUAUUAAAGUUUGACUAUUAUUGUAUUUGUAAUAUGAAUAAAGGAAUACUAAUACAUUCAUAUAUUAAUAUUUUUGUUUCAUUGUUUAUUUGAUAUUAUAACCCAAAUAUUAUAGUUAUUUAUAGUAUUGUAUAUUUAAUUCUAUUUCGGUGGUCCAUAAAAAAAUUAGAAAGAAUGUUUACUCAAUCUAUUAGAUCCUUCGUAUUGUAUUUUUUUAUAUAUAUAUUGAAAACAAUUUUAUAAUGGUUGUUGAAAAAUAAAUUUGUAAAAAUUAAAUUUUGAAUACAUGUAUAUUUUUGAAUCAAUUUUUGUUUUGAAUUUUGUUUAAUGAUUAAUUUAGAAAAAUAUGUUUUUAGUUAAUUAGAUUCGAUCAGUUGCACAAAAAAAAGUAAUUAGAUUGAGUCAUUUUUGAAAUCUGGUCGAAACAGAUAAUUUAUAAAAAUAUAAUGGACAUCAAUUUUUUUAAUAACAUAAACCCAUUAUUUUUUUUAAUAUACUGUUAUUCAUAUUUUCACACAACAUUAUAUUUCUUUUUAAUUAUGUUAUUCUUGUUUCCAAGCAUUUCCAAAGGUACUUCUACUUUAAUAAGAUAAAAGAUAUAAUAUUGCAAAAAUAUGUUGUUAUUUAUUUUUUCAUGUCACUAUUAAAUAUAAUAUAUGUCUCAUCAUAUAAUUAAUCGUGUUUUUUACCUACCAUCAUAUAAGUAAUCAUAUAAUUAAUAGUAUUUUAUAUGUAUCAUCAUAUAAAUAAUUAUAAAUAUUAUAUUUUUAAAACUUAAUAUGAAAUAUAAAAAUCAUAAUUUACGUUGGUGAUUGAAAUUGCUUUGUAUUGAAUUUUUCUUAAAUAAUUUAAAACAUUUUUAUAAUGGUUAUAAAAAACAUUUUAGUAAAAUAAAUUUUUGAGUAUAUGUAUAUUUUUGAAUCAAUUUUUGAGAUAAAUUAAUUUUAAAUUAAUAUUUUGAUUUGAAAUAUGUCUAUAAAAUUUAAAUUUUGUUUUAUGAUUAUUUUAGACAAAAAUAUUUUUAAGUAAUUAGAUUGGGCUAGCCAUUUUCGUAUAUUUUAAAGCUGACUCAUAUAUAUUGUUUUCAUAAUAUAAUGAAUUCCCAAUUUUUCUUGAUAACGUAAGCCCUUUACUUUUUUUCUUUAAUAUAUUGUUAUUCAUGUUUCCAAACAACACUAUAUAUUUUUUUAACUUCUAUCUUCUUUUUUUGUCAUCAACGUAUAUACAUACUCAUACAGACUCUGUGAACCAAGCCGGGAGAUGUUGAUCCAUGUGAACGACGAAAGACGGUUGCUUUCUGACACUACGUGCUAGGCUAUCCGCCUUUGUAUUUUGCGUUCUUGGUACAUGGACAAUCUCUGAUCGGAGAAAACUUUCUUUCAGGAAUUUAAUAUCUUCUAAAUAACUUGCAAAAUCUGGUCAUUUUUCUGAUUCCAAAACCAUCUUCACCAAUUGAGAACAAUCCAUUGCAAACGUAACCUGAAAUUGACGUAAAUUCCUCAUACAUUCCAUUGCCUAGAGUAGUGCUUCCAUCUCCGCAUAGAGAGGAGAUAGACUAGCCCGAACAUUCCUCGCCCUCAUCUGCCCAUCAAAACCUUCUAAAGUACUGAACCAACCAUGUCCGGAGAAAACGUCUUUCUCUUUUCAGGAACCAUCUGUGAAACACCAUCUACCUGGAAUUAACGGUAAUGACUAACCUCUACCUGUGAUACUAUCCUCUGUUUCUUUGCUAUAUGCGCUUCAGUCCAAAGUGUGGACUAUGUUUCUGCUAAUUUUAAAUUCUAUCUAUGUUACCAAACAAAAACUUAAAGUACUUCUACUUUAAUAAGAUAGAUAUAAUAUAGAUAUAAGUUAUAUAAAGAUUAAGCACCAACAUUAAGUCAAGUAGUGACCACGUUUAGGUUUCAAGACAACUUCUUCUCUUGUUUCUGGCCUUGGAGGAGAAAAUCACAUCCAAGACUCAAGCGAUAAUUCAACCGCACCGCAGUACCUGCAAAAUAUGUAGAGUUAUUCUUGGGUUCACCCUCAAGAGGUUCACCAACUAAUAGGAUUUCAUUAUUUUAAAUUCGAUAUUUUUUAGAAAAGAAAACAAAAUAUUAUCAGGUUAUAUUAUAUUUUUAAAAUAAAAAAUAGUAGUUACAGAAAAAAAAUUUAAAAAAAUAUUUUUGACGUCGUCAGCAAAACAUUAAACCCUAAAUUCUAAUCCCUAAACUCUAAAUCCGAAACUCUAAACCCUUGGAUAAAUUAUAAACUCUAAAUCAAAAACAAUAAACACUAAAACCCUAAACCAUAAAUCCUAAACCCUAAACCUUUGAGCGUUUUAGUGUUUAAUAUUUUUGAUUUAGAGUUUAGGAUUUAUCCAAGGGUUUAAGAUUUACCCAAGGGUUUAGGUUUUAGGAUUUGGGGUUUAAGGAUUAGGAUUUAGUUUUUUCUUGACGAUGUUAAAAGUAUUUUUUUUGUAAUUACUACUAUUUUUAAUUUAUUUUUUAUUUUAAAUAUAUAAUAUAACCUGAUAAUACUUUGUUUCUUUUAAUAAAAGAUAUCGAAUUUGAAAUAACACAAUCCUAUUGGUUGGUGAACCUAGAGGUUCGCCCUAGGGGGCGAACCCAAGAAUAAGUCAAAUAUGUAUAUAGACUUUCGUCCCAUUUUAAACCAACUUAAUAAGGGUUUUCUAUUUUAUGAAGUAAUUUUUUACUAGAGGUGGGUAUUUGGAUAUCCGUUCGGGUUUGAUUUUGUAUUUAUUCGAGUUUUAAAUUUUUGGAGUUAGAAAGUUAAACUUCACUCGGGUAUUUAUACAUUUUGGUUUGAAUUUAUAUAAGAUUUUUGCGGGUUUGGUUCCGGUUCAGUAUCCAUUUAAAUUACUUUAAUAAAAUAAAAAAUAUAUACUUAAAAAUUCUAAAAGUCCAAAAAUAAAAUAACAUAUAGCAUAUAAGUUUGAAUAGUUUAUGUCUUAAUAUCUAAAUUAAAAUAAAAUUGUUUUGUUAUUGACAUUUGGAAGGAAAAAUUGUUACGUAUUUUGAGUACUUUUGGUAUUUUGAAUAUAUUUUAGCCAUUUUGGAUUUUGGCUGCUUGUAUAUAUUUCUAGGUAUUUUAGACACUUUCAAAAAUGUAUAGUUUUAGAUAUUAGAUUUAAAAAAUUAAUGUAUUUAGAUAAAUAAUAUAUAUUUGGAUAUUUUUGGAUACCUAAAAUAUUUCAGUUCAGAUAAGUUUGGUUUCGAGUUCUUCAAAUACCAAAAUUUUGACUUCAUCUGGAUAUUUAAUCAGAUUCGGUUCAGGUAUAGUAUUACUUUUCAGAUAAAUUUCGAUUCAGUUCUUCGGGUCUGGGCAUUUUGCCCAGCACUAGUUUUUACCUUCCUUUUUAAAAUAAUCGUUCAUAAGAUAUCAUGCGAGGACAUGAGCUACACAUAACAUGCAGAUGCGGAUGACUGUUUUUGUUCGUCACUUGUCACUCACUUCACAGCGAUACACACACAUGCAUGCAUUAUUACACGUGAUCGCCAUGCAAAUCUCCAUUCUCACCUAUAAAUUACGUCCUCAGCUUCACACUUUACUCAAAUCAAAAUCAUCAUAAUUACAAACAAGGUUAAAAACAUACACAAAUGGCGAACAAGCUCUUCCUCGUCUCGGCAACUCUCGCCUUCUUCUUCCUUCUCACCAAUGCCUCCGUCUACAGGACGGUUGUGGAAGUCGACGAAGAUGAUGCCACAAACCCAGCCGGUCCAUUUAGGAUUCCAAAAUGUAGGAAGGAGUUUCAGCAAGCACAACACCUAAGAGCUUGCCAGCAAUGGCUCCACAAGCAGGCAAUGCAGUCUGGUAGUGGUCCAAGCUGGACCCUCGACGGUGAAUUUGAUUUUGAAGACGACAUGGAGAACCCCCAGGGCCCACAACAGAGGCCCCCGCUACUCCAGCAGUGCUGCAACGAGCUCCAUCAGGAAGAGCCACUUUGCGUUUGCCCAACCUUGAAAGGAGCAUCCAAAGCCGUUAAACAACAGGUUCGACAACAGGGACAACAGCAGGGACAGCAGGGACAGCAGCUGCAGCAAGUAAUUAGCCGUAUCUACCAGACCGCUACGCACUUACCUAGAGUUUGCAACAUCCCGCAAGUUAGCAUUUGUCCCUUCCAGAAGACCACGCCUGGGCCCUACUACUAGAUUCCAAACGAAAUCCUCGGGAAUGUAUAUACCGCGGUGAUGAAUGUGGUUGUUGAUGUAUGUUAACACUUCAUAGUCAUGGUGUGUGUUCCAUAAAUAAUGUACGUUAAAAUGUUCGAGG